Molecule: long non-coding RNA, 1136 nt
Organism: Cucumis sativus (cucumber)
Lineage: Eukaryota; Viridiplantae; Streptophyta; Magnoliopsida; Cucurbitales; Cucurbitaceae
Exons: 2
Source: RefSeq, a predicted model, not a curated record
GAGUAAUGAUUAGGAAAUCCAGCUAAAAUCCAAAGGUUUUUGGUAAAGAUUAUGUUAACAUGCAGAAGAUGAAGAACAACUUAAUUCGAGAUGAGAUCAUGUUAUGGCUUAAACAGAUUUGCUAAGUGGCAACGUGUGGAUGGUUGAAGGGUUGUGAUUUCUCAGUGAUGGAGGCCCACAAAUGAUGAUGAUGGACUAAUCAUGAUCACCAAAAGCCAAUCAAGCCAAAUGGGAACAAUUAUCAGUUGCUUCAAUAAAACAGACUCUCCAUCUCUUUCUUUCUAGUUUCAUGAACAUUCAACAUCUCCUAGGAAGAAGAAGAAGAAGGAUUGAAAAAUUAAUACUUGGACAAAAAGAGAGAGCAAUACUAGGAGGAGGGGAAGACGAAUAAGCCACCUAGUCUUAAUUGGUUAAGGUAUAUAUGUUUGAUGUCACAGGUUUGAUUCCCACUCCAAUGCAGCUCCUUGUGUUGUUGAUCUAAAAGAAGAAGAAUAAGCUACAUGAAUAUAGUUCUACUGGCCGUUAAGGAAUAUAUUUUCGACAAAGAAAUCAAGGUUUGAUCCAGCUCAUCUCCACCCUGCAUGCUUUUGAUGAUCUAAAAGAAGAAGAAACGAUAUCGUAGGAAGAAAACGAGCGUGAAGAAGAAAGAUCAGGAAGUGACAGGUAGAAGAAGAAUUGAUAUCAUAAGAGGAAGAAGAGCUUGAAGAAGAAACACUGCAAAAAGUGCAAAGAAGGCGAGCACGGGUUCGGGUAUCUGGAUGGUGGUGAAAGUGUGAAUGGGGCAGUGUAAAUCCAAGAAAGAAAAUGGCAGAGAAGAGAUGAAAAGUUCAGAAGCACACAAGUUUGGAUGUAUGGAGAUGAUCAAAGAGAGAAAAACCAGAUUCUAUAUUGCAAGGAGAUGUCUCAUCAUGCUUAUUUGCUGGGAUAAAUAUGAUGGAAGCUGGUAAAGUUGGAGAAUGGCAUGCACCUUCCUUGAAGGCAUUGGUAAUGACAGUUACUAUAUUUUCUUAUGUUUGUCUUUGCUUUGUAAAUUUCCUUUUGGAUUAUCUAUCUAUUUUCCAUGAUAAUCCGAUUGUAUAAUCUCUUCGAAUCUUCAAUUGCAAAUGAAAUUCCUCUACUCCAUUUUAUUGUGCAAA